GGAGAGGUGGCUGAGUGGCUGAAAGCGCUCCCUGCUAAGGAGUAUAGGGUAACCCCUAUCGAGGGUUCGAAUCCCUCUCUCUCCGCCA
This 88-nucleotide transfer RNA is filed under the name Gammaproteobacteria bacterium. RNAcentral's name for it is "tRNA-Ser". It matches the Rfam family "tRNA". Rfam says of the family: Transfer RNA (tRNA) molecules are approximately 80 nucleotides in length. Their secondary structure includes four short double-helical elements and three loops (D, anti-codon, and T loops). Lineage: Bacteria; Pseudomonadati; Pseudomonadota; Gammaproteobacteria. The record is from RNAcentral.